This 1341-nucleotide ribosomal RNA is filed under the name uncultured bacterium. RNAcentral's name for it is "partial 16S ribosomal RNA". It matches the Rfam family "Bacterial small subunit ribosomal RNA", at positions 28 to 1381 of the family's 1533-position model. The record is from RNAcentral.
GACGAACUCUGGCGGCGUGCUUAACACAUGCAAGUCGAACGGUAAGGCUCCAGCUUGCUGGGGUACACGAGUGGCGAACGGGUGAGUAACACGUGGGUGACCUGCCCUGCACUUCGGGAUAAGCCUGGGAAACUGGGUCUAAUACCGGAUAGGACCGCACCGUGAGGGUGUGGUGGAAAGUUUUUUCGGUGUGGGAUGGGCCCGCGGCCUAUCAGCUUGUUGGUGGGGUAAUGGCCUACCAAGGCGGCGACGGGUAGCCGGCCUGAGAGGGUGGACGGCCACAUUGGGACUGAGACACGGCCCAGACUCCUACGGGAGGCAGCAGUGGGGAAUAUUGCACAAUGGGCGGAAGCCUGAUGCAGCGACGCCGCGUGGGGGAUGACGGCCUUCGGGUUGUAAACUCCUUUCACCAUCGACGAAGGGUUUCUGACGGUAGAUGGAGAAGAAGCACCGGCUAACUACGUGCCAGCAGCCGCGGUAAUACGUAGGGUGCGAGCGUUGUCCGGAAUUACUGGGCGUAAAGAGCUCGUAGGUGGUUUGUCGCGUCGUCUGUGAAAUUCCGGGGCUUAACUCCGGGCGUGCAGGCGAUACGGGCAUAACUUGAGUACUGUAGGGGAGACUGGAAUUCCUGGUGUAGCGGUGAAAUGCGCAGAUAUCAGGAGGAACACCGGUGGCGAAGGCGGGUCUCUGGGCAGUAACUGACGCUGAGGAGCGAAAGCAUGGGGAGCGAACAGGAUUAGAUACCCUGGUAGUCCAUGCCGUAAACGGUGGGCGCUAGGUGUGGGUUUCCUUCCACGGGAUCCGUGCCGUAGCUAACGCAUUAAGCGCCCCGCCUGGGGAGUACGGCCGCAAGGCUAAAACUCAAAGGAAUUGACGGGGGCCCGCACAAGCGGCGGAGCAUGUGGAUUAAUUCGAUGCAACGCGAAGAGCCUUACCUGGGCUUGACAUAUACAGGAUCGCGCCAGAGAUGGUGUUUCCCUUGUGGCUUGUAUACAGGUGGUGCAUGGUUGUCGUCAGCUCGUGUCGUGAGAUGUUGGGUUAAGUCCCGCAACGAGCGCAACCCUUGUCUUAUGUUGCCAGCACGUUGUGGUGGGGACUCGUAAGAAACUGCCGGGGUUAACUCGGAGGAAGGUGGGGAUGACGUCAAAUCAUCAUGCCCCUUAUGUCCAGGGCUUCACACAUGCUACAAUGGUCGGUACAGUGGGUUGCCAGUCCGUGAGGGCGAGCUAAUCCCGCAAAGCCGGUCUCAGUUCGGAUCGGGGUCUGCAACUCGACCCCGUGAAGUCGGAGUCGCUAGUAAUCGCAGAUCAGCAACGCUGCGGUGAAUACGUUCCCGGGCCU